AUCUAGCUGACGAGUCCCGAAUGGGGCGAAACACGAGUUCUAGAU
Non-coding RNA from Schistosoma mansoni, 45 nucleotides. The record is from Rfam. NCBI's taxonomy places the organism in Eukaryota, Metazoa, Platyhelminthes, Trematoda, Strigeidida, Schistosomatidae.